GCCACAUGAUGCUAUAUUGAUUGCAUUAGCACUCUGCAAAGAUGACCAAUUAUCUAUCACCCUAGACUGAUGGCU
Small nucleolar RNA from Trichomycterus rosablanca, 75 nucleotides. RefSeq annotates it as small nucleolar RNA SNORD83. The transcript has a single exon. The record is from RefSeq and is a predicted model, not a curated record. NCBI's taxonomy places the organism in Eukaryota, Metazoa, Chordata, Actinopteri, Siluriformes, Trichomycteridae.